GUGGCGAACGGGUGAGUAACACGUGGGUAAUCUGCCCUGCACUCUGGGAUAAGCCUUGGAAACGAGGUCUAAUACCGGAUAGGACACAUGGCCGCAUGGUCUGUGUGUGGAAAGUUCCGGCGGUGCAGGUUGAGCCCGCGGCCUAUCAGCUUGUUGGUGGGGUGAUGGCCUACCAAGGCGACGACGGGUAGCCGGCCUGAGAGGGUGACCGGCCACACUGGGACUGAGACACGGCCCAGACUCCUACGGGAGGCAGCAGUGGGGAAUCUUGCGCAAUGGGCGAAAGCCUGACGCAGCAACGCCGCGUGGGGGAUGACGGCCUUCGGGUUGUAAACCUCUUUCGACAUCGACGAAGCCUUCGGGUGACGGUAGGUGUAGAAGAAGCACCGGCUAACUACGUGCCAGCAGCCGCGGUAAUACGUAGGGUGCGAGCGUUGUCCGGAAUUAUUGGGCGUAAAGAGCUCGUAGGCGGUUUGUCGCGUCGGCCGUGAAAACCUGCCGCUUAACGGUGGGCGUGCGGUCGAUACGGGCAGACUUGAGUUCGGUAGGGGAGACUGGAAUUCCUGGUGUAGCGGUGAAAU
This 581-nucleotide ribosomal RNA is filed under the name Saccharopolyspora sp. I14A-01148. Its description in RNAcentral is "bacterial SSU rRNA". It matches the Rfam family "Bacterial small subunit ribosomal RNA", at positions 95 to 687 of the family's 1533-position model. The record is from RNAcentral. Lineage: Bacteria; Bacillati; Actinomycetota; Actinomycetes; Pseudonocardiales; Pseudonocardiaceae.